UGACCCAUGAACCUUAGGCCACUGUGCUGC
RNAcentral lists this non-coding RNA (30 nucleotides) under Homo sapiens (human). The record is from RNAcentral. Lineage: Eukaryota; Metazoa; Chordata; Mammalia; Primates; Hominidae.